Molecule: ribosomal RNA, 460 nt
Filed under: uncultured bacterium
Lineage: Bacteria
Description: partial 16S ribosomal RNA
Rfam family: Bacterial small subunit ribosomal RNA
Source: RNAcentral
CCUACGGGUGGCAGCAGUGAGGAAUAUUGGUCAAUGGCCGGAAGGCUGAACCAGCCAUGCCGCGUGAAGGGCAGGGCCCUAUGGGCGUUAAACUUCUUUUGUGCGGGAGCAAUAAUGGUCACGUGUGGCCAGACGAGAGUACCGUACGAAUAAGCAUCGGCUAACUCCGUGCCAGCAGCCGCGGUAAUACGGGGGAUGCAAGCGUUAUCCGGAUUUAUUGGGUUUAAAGGGUGCGUAGGCUGUGAGGUAAGUCAGCGGUGAAAUGCCCCCGCUCAACGGGGUGAAGUGCCAUUGAUACUGCCUGGCUGGAAUGCGGAUGCCGUGGGAGGAAUGUGUGGUGUAGCGGUGAAAUGCAUAGAUAUCACACAGAACACCGAUUGCGAAGGCAUCUCACGAAUCCGCGAUUGACGCUGAUGCACGAAAGCGUGGGUAUCAAACAGGAUUAGAUACCCUUGUAGUC